CGAUUUCUCCACCGACGCUCUACUCCUCUCCCCUCCCCUCGCCGCUCUCUCUUUUCCCUCUGCCUUCGGCGGCAGAUCGGCGCCGCUUGAGCUCUGGCGGCGGCGGAUCUAGCGAAGGCGGGGAGCAGCGGUGGCGGCGGCGGCGGAUCU
This 150-nucleotide unclassified non-coding RNA is filed under the name Oryza sativa (Asian cultivated rice). Its description in RNAcentral is "partial microRNA MIR435c precursor". The record is from RNAcentral. Lineage: Eukaryota; Viridiplantae; Streptophyta; Magnoliopsida; Poales; Poaceae.